AGACCCGAAACCCGGUGAUCUAGCCAUGGGCAGGUUGAAGGUUGGGUAACACUAACUGGAGGACCGAACCGACUAAUGUUGAAAAAUUAGCGGAUGACCUGUGGCUGGGGGUGAAAGGCCAAUCAAACCGGGAGAUAGCUGGUUCUCCCCGAAAGCUAUUUAGGUAGCGCCUCGUGAAUUCAUCUCCGGGGGUAGAGCACUGUUUCGGCCAGGGGGCCAUCCCGGCUUACCAAUCCGAUGCAAACUGCGAAUACCGGAGAAUGUUAUCACGGGAGACACACGGCGGGUGCUAACGUCCGUCGUGAAGAGGGAAACAACCCAGACCGCCAGCUAAGGUCCCAAAGUCAUGGUUAAGUGGGAAACGAUGUGGGAAGGCCCAGACAGCCAGGAUGUUGGCUUAGAAGCAGCCAUCAUUUAAAGAAAGCGUAAUAGCUCACUGGUCGAGUCGGCCUGCGCGGAAGAUGUAACGGGGCUAAACCAUGCACCGAAGCUGCGGCAGCGACACUGAUGUGUUGUUGGGUAGGGGAGCGUUCUGUAAGCCGUUGAAGGUGUGUCGUGAGGCAUGCUGGAGGUAUCAGAAGUGCGAAUGCUGACAUAAGUAACGAUAAAGCGGGUGAAAAGCCCGCUCGCCGGAAGACCAAGGGUUCCUGUCCAACGUUAAUCGGGGCAGGGUGAGUCGACCCCUAAGGCGAGGCCGAAAGGCGUAGUCGAUGGGAAACGGGUUAAUAUUCCCGUACUUGGUGUUACUGCGAAGGGGGGACGGAGAAGGCUAUGUUGGCCGGGCGACGGUUGUCCCGGUUUAAGCGUGUAGGUGUGUGUUCCAGGUAAAUCCGGUUCACUUUAACACUGAGGCGUGACGACGAGGCAC
This 868-nucleotide ribosomal RNA is filed under the name Salmonella enterica. RNAcentral describes it as "partial 23S ribosomal RNA". It matches the Rfam family "Bacterial large subunit ribosomal RNA", at positions 711 to 1577 of the family's 2925-position model. Lineage: Bacteria; Pseudomonadati; Pseudomonadota; Gammaproteobacteria; Enterobacterales; Enterobacteriaceae. The record is from RNAcentral.